UCCUUACCGUUCAAUGCCCUUGAUCUAAUAAACCAGGUUCAAUUCCCUCCAUUAAAUAAAACUGUCUGAACAAUGGCCAUAAACCCUAGACAAAUAUCACCUUCCUCGUACCAACCUGUAACGGCACCUUCUCCGUCACUGCUCCGCCGUCCGUCUCCAGCCGGAAAUCGCCGCCGCCGCCAGCGGAGCUCCAAACGACCCCAAAUUUUCACCAAUGAACCCUCUCCUUCUCCUAUUGCCAACCAUCAGAACCAUUUCCCUCAACUCCCCGCCGAUUGUUUUGAAUUUUAGAUCUAAACUUCGGUCAAAACACAAGUUUGUCCAAAUAAUCCCAAAUUGAUACCAUACAGUCAUCUCAUCUUCCUCUGCAAAAUAUGUGGGUAUUUCACUUCAAAUAUCACCAGGCCGCCUCCAAUUUUCAAUCUAGGGUUGUACGUGUUUGGACUGGUUUGGGGAUUUUUCAAGUCGAGUGGACUCAGGUUAAUAUUAUGAGUCUAUUUCUUAUAAAAUGGACAUAUAAUAUUAAUUUGAAGUUAGUUUCGAAGGGUUCUUAUGAAGUCCAAAUUGUCGUAAUUUUUCUUCUCUGUCUCUUCUUUAGCUUUUCUGUCAUUUUGAUUCGUUGUUUUCUAGCAUAGUUCUUAAUUCCCUUUCUAGUUAAUAACACUUCGUUGCUUCAAUUGUUAUAAAUGUUUAUGUUAAUUUCUUUUAGGUUGAUUUUCAUUUCUUUGUUUAAAUUCUUAUUCGAUUUUGGUGUUUUUAGUUUGAAUGCUCAAAUGUUAAGUGGUCUAAUUAAUCGUUAGUUUAAUUUGGUUUCUCUUUUGUUCUGUUGAUGUGAUGUUGAUUUGGGAUGGGGCCCUGAUUCCAGUAAUUGUCUUAGUUUCAUAUAUCUGAUAAAGUUUUUUUAGUUCAGUAGUACAAAGAUUAAAUUUCUUUUAAUAUGUUCAAAUAGAAUUGUAGUUUGUUCAUACUAAUUUUUGUCGGUUUUGUUCGCCUGGAACUGACUCGGGUUGAUUUCAAUUUAUGGUUUUGCUUGCUGGUUGUCAAUUCAGUUAGUGUUAAUGGAUAUUGAUUAGUUCAGAGUUUUAAUUAGGUUUAAGGUUUGGAUAUAGCUGAGUGGUCUAGUUGAUUUAACUUUAGUAAGGUUGUAACUAGGGUAAAGGGGUUUGGUGCGGUCAACUAAGGCCAGUAAUUUCAGACAUUGGAAGGGCAUUUUAGGCAUAGAAAAAGGUAGUUUUAUUAGAAAUAGUAAUUCCAAAACAAAGACAAGGGUAGUAUAGGUUUUGUGUAGCUAACAGAACAUCCUAGAGCCUUCUAAAAUAGGACUUUAGUGUAGAAUUUAGUAAACUUAGGGCUGACUUGGGUAGCAAGUUAAUAGAGGGUUAAAAAUGAAAAUAAAAAUGGACUAAAAGGAAAACUGAAAAUCUGAGGACUUCAGACUAUUGGAAGGGUAUUUUAGGCAUAGAAAAGGGUAAUUUUAUUAGAAAUAUUAAUUCCAAAACAAAGACAAGGGUAGUAUAGGUUUUGUGUAGCUAACAUAAUACCCUAGAGCCUUCUAGAAUAGGACUUUAGUGUAUAAUUCAGUACAUUUAGGGCCGACUUGGGUAGCAAGUUAAUAGAGGGUUAAAAAUAAAAAUAAAAAGGAACUAAAAGGAAAACUGAAAAUGUGAGGGCUGCCCUCAUUUGUGCUUAUAUAAGGGGCUGCCCUUUACUUGAUUCACAAGUUUUGAGCCUUAAAAUUUCCCCCAAAAUAUUUUUCAAGAUUUCUAGAUCUGAAAUCCAAAUUUCAAAUUCCCUUAGAUCUUCGGCCUCUCAAAUCUUCAGAAAAACAGCAAAAAAAAUCCCCAAACAAGUACAGUUUCAUCAGUUCCCCUAGACUGAUGUUGAAUUUUAAUCACUGAUUCUCCUACUUUAGCACACCAACAACCACUGAGGUUUCAGAGUGUUCUGUAUGCCAAUUUCAAUGAGAUAUAGGUGUAAUUGAGCUAUUUGGUUUGAUUUUGAGUUGAAACUGGUCAUACAAUUCUAUUUUGGGUUGAUUACAUGGUAUAACUAUCGUCUAUUACAUAUUCCUAGACUCUGAUGGUGCAACUUGAUUUUUUAACUGAUCCUACUUGCUGUGACAUUGUUGAUGCGUAUUACUGUUGCUGAUCUUCCUCUUUCUUUUCCUAAUUACAGGUACAUUUUAUCCCUAGUGGUGUGAAGUUUCAAUCAAUGUACCUGAAUCGUUGUGAAAACAAUCUGAUGAAGCAUUUUUGCUAUAAGAGCUUGUUUUUGCUUUCGUUUGCUAGUGUAAUAUGUAGUAGUAGUUUCGUUUAAAAAGAUUGGUAUGAAUAUUAAACAAGACUGCUCAAACCCACCUUGUAACUAUACAGAGCUGUUGAACUGUUGUUUCUUAGGUUUGUUCGAGAAUUUCAGUAAAAGAGCAAUUUCAUGUUAGUUCAGUUAACUUCUGUUAGUAGUUACAUAUAUCUGUUAACUAAAUUUCAAUAACAAGAAAUGCCAUGUUCAAUGAUAGUAGGUUGUAGUUUUGUGCGUUUUCAUGUUCAAAUUUUUUUCUAGUAGGUAAUGUAGUAGGACAUUUGGUAGUCUCAUUUUCAAAAAUCAAAGAGAAUAAUCAGAUUAGGCAGCCUAAUCGCAGGGUUUUAGGCUCGAUUGCAUUAAUAGGUGACCCAGGUUUGGUCUAAUUGAGUAUCUAUUUGGAUUUGGGCCUGGGCUUGCGUUUGGGCCUGUUUUUUAUUAUUUUUUAAUUUGGUCCAUUAGUGGAGAGAUUGAUCCACCGUUUACUGAAUUUGUAUCCUGCAUUUUUAAUUGGAAUUUUGUAACCGAGAUUCAAGCCUAGCUAUUUCAAAGUCUGUUGGGCCUAAUGCCAAGCCCAAUGGCUUAAAUCAAAUUAUUGUUGCUCUGUUUAGA
This 2910-nucleotide long non-coding RNA is filed under the name Nicotiana benthamiana. RNAcentral's name for it is "long non-coding RNA (NBEN_LNC030794)". The record is from RNAcentral. Lineage: Eukaryota; Viridiplantae; Streptophyta; Magnoliopsida; Solanales; Solanaceae.